GAUGAACGCUGGCGGCGUGCCUAAUACAUGCAAGUCGAGCGAACAGAUGAGGAGCUUGCUCCUCUGACGUUAGCGGCGCACGGGUGAGUAACACGUGGAUAACCUACCUAUAAGACUGGGAUAACUUCGGGAAACCGGCGCUAAUACCGGAUAAUAUAUUGAACCGCAUGGUUCAAUAGUGAAAGACGGUUUUGCUGUCACUUAUAGAUGGAUCCGCGCCGCAUUAGCUAGUUGGUAAGGUAACGGCUUACCAAGGCAACGAUGCGUAGCCGAACUGAGAGGGUGAUCGGCCACACUGGAACUGAGACAGGGCCCAGAGUCCUACGGGAGGCAGCAGUAGGGAAUCUUCCGCAAUGGGCGAGAGCCUGACGGAGCAACGCCGCGUGAGUGAUGAAGGUCUUCGGAUCGUAAAACUCUGUUAUUAGGGAAGAACAAAUGUGUAAGUAACUAUGCACGUCUUGACGGUACCUAAUCAGAAAGCCACGGCUAACUACGUG
This 497-nucleotide ribosomal RNA is filed under the name uncultured bacterium. Its description in RNAcentral is "partial 16S ribosomal RNA". It matches the Rfam family "Bacterial small subunit ribosomal RNA", at positions 28 to 507 of the family's 1533-position model. The record is from RNAcentral.